This 66-nucleotide ribosomal RNA is filed under the name uncultured bacterium. Its description in RNAcentral is "partial 16S ribosomal RNA". The record is from RNAcentral.
UGGGCUUGACAUGAUAGUAGUACCAACCUGAAAGGGAAGGGAUCCGCCUUUGGCGGAAGCUAUCAC